RNAcentral lists this non-coding RNA (807 nucleotides) under Fejervarya sp. BFL-2007. RNAcentral's name for it is "partial 12S rRNA". It matches the Rfam family "Bacterial small subunit ribosomal RNA", at positions 36 to 1399 of the family's 1533-position model. The record is from RNAcentral. Lineage: Eukaryota; Metazoa; Chordata; Amphibia; Anura; Dicroglossidae.
UUGUCUCUUAACUUACACAUGCAAGUCUCAGCACUCCCGUGAGGGACGCCCUUUACCCCUUCAUUAGGCUAAGGAGCUGGUAUCAGGCACUACUUAUGCCCAUAACACCUAGUCCCACCACACCCUCAAGGGUAAUCAGCAGUGAUAAACUUUGUUAAUAAGCGACAGCUUGACUCAGUUAAAGAGAAGAGAGCCGGCCAACCCGGUGCCAGCCGCCGCGGCUAGACCCAUGGGCUCAAAUUGAUAACAGUCGGCGUUAAUCGUGAUUAAAGUACCCUAAAAUUAGAGUGAAACCUACCGUCUUGCCGUGAAAAUCAACACUCUAGGGAAAACCAGAAACGAAAGUUACUCUAAUCCAUACUUGAACACACGACAACUAGGACACAAACUGGGAUUAGAUACCCCACUAUGCCUAGUCGUAAAAUAUUUACUCACACCCACAAACGCCAGGGAACUACGAGCCUUAGCUUAAAACCCAAAGGACUUGACGGUGUCCCACCCAACUAGAGGAGCCUGUACUAUAAUCGAUGGUCCCCGAUAAACCCUACCUUUUCUUGCUCAUCAGCCUGUAUACCUCCGUCGUAAAUCUACCAUAUGAAUGAUACACAGCUCGGUUCAAUGAUUUCCCCCAUCAGAACGUCAGGUCAAGGUGCAGCCCAUGAAAAGGCAAGUGAUGGGCUACAAUUUCUAAUCUAGAACAAACGAAAUACUGUAUGAAACACAGGCACAGAAGGAGGAUUUAGAAGUAAAGAGAAAAUAACGAGUUCUCUUAAACAUGGCCCUGGGACACGUACACACCGCCCGUCG